Molecule: ribosomal RNA, 1047 nt
Filed under: Thermoproteus sp. CP80
Lineage: Archaea; Thermoproteati; Thermoproteota; Thermoprotei; Thermoproteales; Thermoproteaceae
Description: bacterial SSU rRNA
Rfam family: Archaeal small subunit ribosomal RNA (bases 1-241)
Source: RNAcentral
UAGGGGGACUGCCGGCGUAAGCCGGAGGAAGGAGGGGGCCACGGCAGGUCAGUAUGCCCCGAAACCCCGGGGCUGCACGCGAGCUGCAAUGGCGGGGACAGCGGGAUCCGACCCCGAAAGGGGGAGGCAAUCCCGUAAACCCCGCCCUGGUAGGGAUCGAGGGCUGCAACUCGCCCUCGUGAAUGUGGAAUCCCUAGUAACCGCGUGUCACCAACGCGCGGUGAAUACGUCCCUGCCCCUUAGGCGGGUUGCUGCGGCCUUCCUCAUCCUUCUUAAGGUCGGUCCUUCUCUGCCGUGUGGAUUACUCGUGGAUGGUGGUGGGCGUAGGAGUCGCCCUCGAGGGCUAUGUUUACAUCGGCAGGAGGUCGCGCGCCGAGGUUGUGUUUGUGAAUAUCGACGAGGCGGUUAGGCGGUUCUACACGAGCCAUCUAGAGAGCCUAGGGUUUAGAUAUCACGUGAGGGGCAAGAGGAUUGUAUCCUAUAUGCUGGAGUUCGCCGAGGAGCUGAGGAGGCGGAUAUGCACGACCUCCGGCGUCAAGAGGCUUCCGCCCGAGUCGCAUAUGUAUGCGCGGGAGGCCGUAAGGUGGGCCUUCACGUUAGACGGCGGAGUUGUCUUGUCCAGAGACCCCAAGAGCCGGGAGGUGGUCUUCCGAUCAAAAAGCGUGGAGAUAAUCGAGGACGUAGGCGCGUUGCUGAGGGCGGUCGGGAUCUCCUAUGGAAUUAGAGGCAACGGCACGUUGCUCUACAUAAAGCGCAGAGAGGACUUGGGGAAGUUCGCGGAGAUAGGGUUCCUAGAGGGGGCCAAGGCGGUGCGCGGCAGGCAUAGAGGGCGCGAGAAGAACGAUCUGUUGAGGCUCCUCCUUUCCCAUCCCUAGCCGCGGCGCCCGCCGGGGAAGCACACACCGCCCGUCGCACCACCCGAGGGAGUUCUCUGCGAGGCCCCUUGCUCGGGGCAACCUGGGUGGGGGGACGAGCAGAGAACUCCCGAGGGGGGUGAAGUCGUAACAAGGUAGCCGUAGGGGAACCUGCGGCUGGAUCACCUCCUAA